This 364-nucleotide ribosomal RNA is filed under the name Babesia canis. RNAcentral describes it as "SSU rRNA". It matches the Rfam family "Eukaryotic small subunit ribosomal RNA", at positions 462 to 880 of the family's 1831-position model. The record is from RNAcentral. Lineage: Eukaryota; Apicomplexa; Aconoidasida; Piroplasmida; Babesiidae.
AGGUAGUGAACAAGAAAUAACAAUACAGGCGAAUGUCUUGUAAUUGGAAUGAUGGUGACCCAAACCCUCACCAGAGUAGCAAUUGGAGGGCAAGUCUGGUGCCAGCAGCCGCGGUAAUUCCAGCUCCAAUAGCGUAUAUUAAACUUGUUGCAGUUAAAAAGCUCGUAGUUGUAUUUUUGCGUUGACGGUUUGACCAUUUGGUUGGUUAUUUCGUUUUCGCUUUUGGGAAUUUCCCUUUUUACUUUGAGAAAAUUAGAGUGUUUCAAGCAGACUUUUGUCUUGAAUACUUCAGCAUGGAAUAAUAGAGUAGGACUUUGGUUCUAUUUUGUUGGUUAUUGAACCUUAGUAAUGGUUAAUAGGAACG